Molecule: ribosomal RNA, 305 nt
Filed under: uncultured bacterium
Lineage: Bacteria
Description: bacterial SSU rRNA
Rfam family: Bacterial small subunit ribosomal RNA
Source: RNAcentral
UUUUCCUACGGGGGGCAGCAGUGGGGAAUAUUGGGCAAUGGGCGCAAGCCUGACCCAGCAACGCCGCGUGAAGGAAGAAGGCUUUCGGGUUGUAAACUUCUUUUCUUGGGGACGAAGAAAGUGACGGUACCCAAGGAAUAAGCCACGGCUAACUACGUGCCAGCAGCCGCGGUAAUACGUAGGAUGCGAGCGUUAUCCGGAUUUAUUGGGUUUAAAGGGUGCGCAGGCGGCGAGUUAAGUCAGCGGUAAAAUUUCGGGGCUCAACCCCGACGAGCCGCUGAAACUGGCUUGCUAGAGGGGGCUAG